Molecule: ribosomal RNA, 2926 nt
Filed under: [Enterobacter] lignolyticus
Lineage: Bacteria; Pseudomonadati; Pseudomonadota; Gammaproteobacteria; Enterobacterales; Enterobacteriaceae
Description: bacterial LSU rRNA
Rfam family: Bacterial large subunit ribosomal RNA
Source: RNAcentral
GGGUUGUGAGGUUAAGCGACUAAGCGUACACGGUGGAUGCCCUGGCAGUCAGAGGCGAUGAAGGACGUGCUAAUCUGCGAAAAGCGCCGGCGAGGUGAUAUGAACCUUUGACCCGGCGAUGUCCGAAUGGGGAAACCCAGUGUGAUCCGUCACACUAUCAUUAACUGAAUCCAUAGGUUAAUGAGGCGAACCGGGGGAACUGAAACAUCUAAGUACCCCGAGGAAAAGAAAUCAACCGAGAUUCCCCCAGUAGCGGCGAGCGAACGGGGAGGAGCCCAGAGUCUGAAUCAGCGCGUGUGUUAGUGGAACGGUCUGGAAAGUCCGGCGAUACAGGGUGACAGCCCCGUACACGAAAAUGCACACGCUGUGAACUCGAAGAGUAGGGCGGGACACGUGGUAUCCUGUCUGAAUAUGGGGGGACCAUCCUCCAAGGCUAAAUACUCCUGACUGACCGAUAGUGAACCAGUACCGUGAGGGAAAGGCGAAAAGAACCCCGGCGAGGGGAGUGAAAAAGAACCUGAAACCGUGUACGUACAAGCAGUGGGAGCCUCUUUAAUGGGGUGACUGCGUACCUUUUGUAUAAUGGGUCAGCGACUUAUAUUCUGUAGCAAGGUUAACCGAAUAGGGGAGCCGAAGGGAAACCGAGUCUUAACUGGGCGUUAAGUUGCAGGGUAUAGACCCGAAACCCGGUGAUCUAGCCAUGGGCAGGUUGAAGGUUGGGUAACACUAACUGGAGGACCGAACCGACUAAUGUUGAAAAAUUAGCGGAUGACUUGUGGCUGGGGGUGAAAGGCCAAUCAAACCGGGAGAUAGCUGGUUCUCCCCGAAAGCUAUUUAGGUAGCGCCUCGUGAACUCAUCUUCGGGGGUAGAGCACUGUUUCGGCUAGGGGGUCAUCCCGACUUACCAACCCGAUGCAAACUGCGAAUACCGAAGAAUGUUAUCACGGGAGACACACGGCGGGUGCUAACGUCCGUCGUGAAGAGGGAAACAACCCAGACCGCCAGCUAAGGUCCCAAAGUCAUGGUUAAGUGGGAAACGAUGUGGGAAGGCACAGACAGCCAGGAUGUUGGCUUAGAAGCAGCCAUCAUUUAAAGAAAGCGUAAUAGCUCACUGGUCGAGUCGGCCUGCGCGGAAGAUGUAACGGGGCUAAACCAUGCACCGAAGCUGCGGCAGCGACACUAUGUGUUGUUGGGUAGGGGAGCGUUCUGUAAGCCGUUGAAGGUGGCCUGUGAGGGUUGCUGGAGGUAUCAGAAGUGCGAAUGCUGACAUAAGUAACGAUAAAGCGGGUGAAAAGCCCGCUCGCCGGAAGACCAAGGGUUCCUGUCCAACGUUAAUCGGGGCAGGGUGAGUCGACCCCUAAGGCGAGGCCGAAAGGCGUAGUCGAUGGGAAACAGGUUAAUAUUCCUGUACUUGGUGUUACUGCGAAGGGGGGACGGAGAAGGCUAUGUCAUCCGGGCGACGGUCGUCCCGGUUUAAGCGUGUAGGUGUGUGUUCCAGGCAAAUCCGGAGCACUUUAACACUGAGGCGUGAUGACGAGGCACUACGGUGCUGAAGUGACAGAUGCCCUGCUUCCAGGAAAAGCCUCUAAGCAUCAGGUAACACGAAAUCGUACCCCAAACCGACACAGGUGGUCAGGUAGAGAAUACCAAGGCGCUUGAGAGAACUCGGGUGAAGGAACUAGGCAAAAUGGUGCCGUAACUUCGGGAGAAGGCACGCUGAUAUGUAGGUGAAGCCCCUGCGGGUGGAGCUGAAAUCAGUCGAAGAUACCAGCUGGCUGCAACUGUUUAUUAAAAACACAGCACUGUGCAAACACGAAAGUGGACGUAUACGGUGUGACGCCUGCCCGGUGCCGGAAGGUUAAUUGAUGGGGUUAUCCGUAAGGAGAAGCUCUUGAUCGAAGCCCCGGUAAACGGCGGCCGUAACUAUAACGGUCCUAAGGUAGCGAAAUUCCUUGUCGGGUAAGUUCCGACCUGCACGAAUGGCGUAAUGAUGGCCAGGCUGUCUCCACCCGAGACUCAGUGAAAUUGAACUCGCUGUGAAGAUGCAGUGUACCCGCGGCAAGACGGAAAGACCCCGUGAACCUUUACUAUAGCUUGACACUGAACAUUGAGCCUUGAUGUGUAGGAUAGGUGGGAGGCUUUGAAGUGUGGACGCCAGUCUGCAUGGAGCCAACCUUGAAAUACCACCCUUUAAUGUUUGAUGUUCUAACGUGGACCCGUAAUCCGGGUUGCGGACAGUGUCUGGUGGGUAGUUUGACUGGGGCGGUCUCCUCCCAAAGAGUAACGGAGGAGCACGAAGGUUGGCUAAUCCUGGUCGGACAUCAGGAGGUUAGUGCAAUGGCAUAAGCCAGCUUGACUGCGAGCGUGACGGCGCGAGCAGGUGCGAAAGCAGGUCAUAGUGAUCCGGUGGUUCUGAAUGGAAGGGCCAUCGCUCAACGGAUAAAAGGUACUCCGGGGAUAACAGGCUGAUACCGCCCAAGAGUUCAUAUCGACGGCGGUGUUUGGCACCUCGAUGUCGGCUCAUCACAUCCUGGGGCUGAAGUAGGUCCCAAGGGUAUGGCUGUUCGCCAUUUAAAGUGGUACGCGAGCUGGGUUUAGAACGUCGUGAGACAGUUCGGUCCCUAUCUGCCGUGGGCGCUGGAGAAUUGAGGGGGGCUGCUCCUAGUACGAGAGGACCGGAGUGGACGCAUCACUGGUGUUCGGGUUGUCAUGCCAAUGGCAUUGCCCGGUAGCUAAAUGCGGAAGAGAUAAGUGCUGAAAGCAUCUAAGCACGAAACUUGCCCCGAGAUGAGUUCUCCCUGACUCCUUGAGAGUCCUGAAGGAACGUUGAAGACGACGACGUUGAUAGGCCGGGUGUGUAAGCGCAGCGAUGCGUUGAGCUAACCGGUACUAAUGAACCGUGAGGCUUAACCUUACAACGCCGAAG